CGUGUAGGCGGCUCAUCAAGUCUGGUGUGAAAACGCAAGGCUUAACCUUGCGUAUGCGCUGGAAACUGGUGGGCUUGAGUUCCUGAGGGGAAGCUGGAAUUCCAGGUGUAGGGGUGAAAUCUGUAGAUAUCUGGAAGAACACCGGUGGCGAAGGCGAGCUUCUAUCAGAGGACUGACGCUGAGGCGCGAAAGCGUGGGGAGCAAACAGGAUUAGAUACCCUGGUAGUCCACGCUGUAAACGAUGUGCACUAGGCGUGGGGCCCGUACGGGUUCUGUGCCGUAGUUAACGUGUUAAGUGCACCGCCUGGGGAUAUGCUCGCAAGGGUGAA
Molecule: ribosomal RNA, 329 nt
Filed under: uncultured bacterium
Lineage: Bacteria
Description: bacterial SSU rRNA
Rfam family: Bacterial small subunit ribosomal RNA
Source: RNAcentral